Molecule: long non-coding RNA, 1613 nt
Organism: Aquila chrysaetos chrysaetos
Lineage: Eukaryota; Metazoa; Chordata; Aves; Accipitriformes; Accipitridae
Exons: 8
Source: RefSeq, a predicted model, not a curated record
UCUUAUGAUGUGGCAUCAGCAAUCUUCUAUUUGUCUUGAGGAACACCUCUACCUUCUCUGUGCUUCACUCACAAAGCAGGCAUUGCUGUGUGGAUUCGUUUUAAGGUGGCUGCUCCGUGGCAGACAUACAUACACACAUGCCUGAAGACCGUCAGAAGACCAGCUGGUGGGAGGCAGGAUCGUAAAGACGACUUCUCCACAAAUGCCACAAGCACAAUACUAGAAGAAGAUUGAUAUUUGGAAAAAUGAUGGACUUCAAAAAUAACUUUGGAUUCUCUGACCUGUUUCACUAAUGCACGCUGCCGUAAAACCAGGAGGGGUGGAAAGUGCAAUUCACAGAGAAGGGAAGGUGGACGCAUGCCCUGAAGCUUCAUGGCACUGCUCAUGACCUCUCAGGCAGGCACUCCUGUUGCUGGAGCUCUCUCCUCCUCAACCAACCUGCUAAGCCUGGAGAUGAAGGAGGACGUCCAGGAGUCUUGUAUUAUCACUGAGUACAGCUGAAUUCCUGAAAACUUCUAUAAGGGAUGAAGCUAUAAGGACUCAUUGCCGAGAAAUGCUACUGGAUACACACCUCCACCCCCUCUCACCCAGAAGACUGUUGAUGUGUUUGCAAGACACAGAUGUUUAUGAAGAAACUUCUUGUACAAGUCGUCCCUGAUGGUUAACUGGUGGCCUGGUCCGGGGAGGACAUUCAGAGGCAGGAAUUCAACUCUCCUCAAGCAAAGCGCAGAGCUGAACCUCAGGCUGCCACUUCCCAGAUGUUUAUAUUUAAAGAUAACCACUGCCAGCAUGAACAACUUUUACUUCUCUUUGAGCUUGGAGUUCAUAACGCUGUUUGAAGGCUGUAAGCCCUUAAGUACUGAAACAAGGUGAACAUUCAGCUCCAGAAAUUUCAAAUCCAGAGGAGGAAUCAAAUACGCCAAGAUAAAUAUCUCUCCUGCUCCAUACUUACAUCACUCUUUGUACCAAACUGUUAUGAACCACGAGCGGGUAACAUCUCUGGUAUUAGAAGCAAUACACCAAAGCUGUCAAGUGACUGAGAGCUUCAAACCAGACCCUCCAGGUUGUUUUGGGUUUAUUUUUGAGAUAUUUUAAACAGGCAUGUGCAAAGCAGCAGCUCCCAGAAACCUGUCCUGGCUGUUAGGCUUGCCUGAGGGGUUACAGUGCUGUCCGUCUGAAGGACACGGGCUCUAAGAUGACUUUCCUCAAAGUGAGUCCCAGCCUUCCCCUUCCCUACAGAAGUACCUAGCAGGAGAAAGGAAUCGGAGUCACAAUUUGUACUCCUUCCCCACCACACCAGGCAGUUGUCUCAGCUCUGUUUCAAACAGUGCCCAUUAUCGUAAUAUUAGCACUUCACAAUCCUUAAUGCGUGUUUAAUCCAUCAUUUUUAGGACUCUCAUAUGAAGGACUCGCUGUCCGUGGUCACCGCUACCACUGCAAACUGGAAGAUUGCAAUCUUAGCCAUAACAAGGUCACAUAAUAAAGCACAUACCAGAAGAAAGACUAAUAAUAAUUUUCAUUGCGUAUAAUAAGUAUAUAAUAAAGUUUAGUAGUAGACAGUAGAAGAGCUGUGAAAGUCAAAGCAUUUCUUUUCUAUUUCUGAUUGUCACUGC